RNAcentral lists this ribosomal RNA (253 nucleotides) under uncultured bacterium. Its description in RNAcentral is "partial 16S ribosomal RNA". It matches the Rfam family "Bacterial small subunit ribosomal RNA", at positions 524 to 776 of the family's 1533-position model. The record is from RNAcentral.
UACGUAGGUGGCAAGCGUUGUCCGGAUUUACUGGGCGUAAAGGGCUUGUAGGCGGUCCGUUAAGUCUGGUGUGAAAUCUCCCGGCUCAACCGGGAGGGGUCAUCAGAUACUGGCGGACUAGAGACGGGUAGAGGAAAGCAGAAUUCCCGGUGUAGCGGUGAAAUGCGUAGAUAUCGGGAGGAAUACCAGUGGCGAAGGCGGCUUUCUGGGCCUGUUCUGACGCUGAGGAGCGAAAGCGUGGGGAGCAAACCGG